This is an RNA transcript of Oncorhynchus keta (chum salmon), 6133 nucleotides long. It is a transcript of the gene named ensconsin-like, with no coding region annotated. The transcript is spliced from 21 exons. The record is from RefSeq and is a predicted model, not a curated record. NCBI's taxonomy places the organism in Eukaryota, Metazoa, Chordata, Actinopteri, Salmoniformes, Salmonidae.
UCGAUGGCCCGUUCCCUAGUUUUACUUGGAUGUCCACGUAACCGCGUACGUAUUAUGCGCGCCUCUGUUGCCCCAAAAAAAUUGAGAAGGAAAACUUCAUAGAAAUGGCGGAGGGUGCAACAUCUCUGAAGGGUUUGCGAGCUCAAAUGGCUGCAGCUGCGCAGGCACAGGCAGAGGAGCGGCGCAGCCUAGCAGGGAACAGCCCAGGGCCUGCAGUAGCAGCAGUAGCAGCAGCUAACACACCAUCCCCAGCAGCAGUAGCAGCAGCUAACACACCAUCCCCAGCAGCAGCAGCAAAGUCUCCCCGACCAGUCAUUGAUGGUGCUGCACUAAGGAUAGACGAGCGUCUUCGAGUGGCGAAAGAGAGACGAGAGGAGGCCGAUAGGCAGCAAGCUACGAAGGAAACUCAGAUCCUGGAGCGGGAGCGUAAGGCCAAGCUGCAGGUGGAGCGUCAGAUGGAGGAGCGCCAGAAGAAGCUGGACGAGCAGCGCAGGAAGGAGGAGCAGAGACGCUCAGCCGUGGAGGGGAAGAGGAAGCUAAAACAGGAGGAGGAGAAGGAGCACUAUGAGGCGGUGAUGCGGCGGACCCUGGAGCGCAGCCAGAGAGUGGAGCAGAAGCAGAAGAGGUGGUCCUGGGGGGGGCUUUCAGAGUCAGACAACCGACCUGGAGACCCUGACGCAGGCGCCUCCUCUCCAGUAGCUAUAGUUAUCUCCCCCGCGUCUCCAGAAAAGCCCCCCAGGACACAAGCUGACAAGCGCUCUACCUCCACCAUGAACCUGAAACAGCCGGCCGAUUCUGGCAUUAACAAGCGCCUGUCCUCCUCCUCCGCCACCCUCAUCAAAUCACCUGACAAAAGUGCUCGUGUGAGGAGUUCGUCACUGAACCGGUUGCCUAGAAACAACAAAGUCGACCUAGACACUCAGCCCACUAAGGAAGGCAAAAAAAAGCUUCAGGUGGAACAGACAGGCCCCUCCCUGAAGAAGAGAAGCUCCUCCCUGACACGAGCUGGGGGGGGCAGAACGCCGACCCCCUCCAAGCUCGAUAAGGGGACGUCAGACGACCAAGCUCGCAAGCCCCUGGCGAGCCCCGUGGACGGAGGGUUCCUCAGUCGCCUUCUCAUCCCCACCCAGGCCUCAAUAGCUAGGAGCAAGAGCGCCGCAGCCCUGUCCGAAGGAGGCGAAGUCCCAGAGUGUCACCUGUGUCCUCGUUCAGCCUCGCCCAGCCCCCUGCACCUGAUGCAGCGAGGACCUGUGCGCAGCCGCAGCAUCGACCGGCAGAAGAGCACCACCCUGCCCACCUCGGCCUCGGCAGACCAACUGAACCCCUCACUGAAGGAGAAACGGUUCUCGUCGCCCGGAGGGAAGCGCCCCGCCUCGCCCUCCAACAUCGCGGGACGCCACCGCUCGCCCUCCCCUGCCAACCUCCCCGCCAGCAAAAGAACCCCCUCCCCCAGUGCAGCAAAGCAAAGCCCCCGUAACCGUCCCCCGUCACCCGGAGGUACCAAACAUCGCCCCCCGUCCCCUCAACCCAGUUCGGCCAAGCCCCCAUCCCCUCAGCCCAGCUCGGCCAAGCCACCACCCAUCCAGAGACCGGCCCUCACCCCGACCGGCCCCCCCACCCUGCGGAAGAAAGACUCCAAGCCAAAGGACCUGUGUCCCAUCCAGGCUGUGGCCCCCCAGUCCCCAGAGCCCCCCAGACCAGCUCAACACCGACUCCAGCUCCCACAUCCUCCACUAAGACCAAAGACAAGGACGAGAAGUCCAUGGCGGGCACCAACUCUGCAGCCGAGGCCGCCAUGAUCCUUGCCGAGAACCGCCGUCUGGCACGGGAGAAGAAGGAGAGAGAAGAGGCACUCCGAGUACUGAGAGAGGAGGAGGAGAAGCUGAGGAAGGAGGAGGAGAAAUGCUUGGCCGAGGAGGCACGGUUGAAACGCCUGGAGGAGGAGAGGAGGCUAGCGGAGGAGAAGAAGAAAAAGGAGGAGGAGGACGCUCUCAUGGCCGAGGCAGACCGAGAGAGACUGGAGGCUGAGGAGGCCGGGAGACAGGCUGAGCUACAGAAAGAGCGUGAAGAGGCGGAGGCUCAGGCUGCAAUUGAUGCAGAGAAGGUCCGCAUUGAGAGGGAGAGGGUAAUGGCCCAGAACCAUAAGGAACGCAUGGAGAGGAAGAAGAGAAUUGAGGAGAUCAUGAAGAGAACCAGAAAAGGAGACCAAGAAAAGGGAGGAGAUGAUGAUGAUGAUGAGGAUGAGAAAGACAUACAGGAUGAAGAGGGAGAGGAGGAGGUUGAAGAAGAAACCAACUGUGUCGAAACCAAGGACGAUGAGUCAACCCAGCCCGGAGAUAUUGCCUUGGAGACGGACGACCUGGAGCGUGGACUGGCCCGCAGCGAACCAAUGGGAGUGCGGGAGGAGCCGUUGGGAUGCGUGAACGGGAUACCGGAGGCAGACGACAAGGAGAACAACAGAACCACCGCUGAGGGGCCUCUGGCUGUGAGUCCAGUGCCUAAGGUUCAUUUAGUGGGGGGCUCAGAGUUCCUGAACGAGGACUCUAACAAGCUGUCCCCGGGGCUGAACGGUAAGCCUGGCCCCUGGAGCUUCGAGGAAUUAAUUGACCUGGGCGUCAACUCCAAGGGCCGUCCCCUCAUCGAUGCUGACGGCCGCAACCAGGGCCUCAUCGACUGUGACGGGGCCCCCAAUGGACCCAGGUUGGCCUUCGAGGACAAGGGGACCCCCGUGGCCACCCUCCACCCCUCCAGUCAGCCCAUUGAAGCCCUGUCAGAGAUGUGAGGCUGCAGCUCUCCCUUCGGAGGCCUGUGAAUAUUGCACUUCCAGAGUUCUUGUCCAGCUGAGCUCCAGACCCCUUACCCCCUCCACACGUACACACCCGCCCUCAGCCAGAGGAAGAGCACAGGGGUUGAGGGGGGGACAGGGACUCCAGAACGCUAAAUUUGCACCCCCACCACAUGAAAAGAAAAUCUAAAAAGAGAAACAAAGCUUCAGGGGAAAAUCUCUAUUCCUCCUUCAAUGUGCUCACUUCAAGGGCUCUCAUCCUCCCAUACCUAUAACAGUUGACACUUGGUUAUUUUUUAAAUGUUGUUUUGUUCAUACUGUUGUUUUUUAAGUGUUGUGCAGGGUGUGCAACGUAAUUUAUUAAUUUUGUUGUCUUCGUUAAAUGUAAUUGCUGGUUUGAGAAUAUUCCAGGAUUUAUGUACAUAACACUUUGCUCUAUGAUUGCUAUGAGUUCAUUACUUCUCGUGUCAUGAGUGAGUCAGGAAACUCUAGUACUGAUUGGUGGGCUGGGGAACCUGGGUAUUGUAGUCUCUCAGGGUCUGCCUACAUGAGCCCUAAGUAUCUCCAGUGGAUAAGGGAGUAUUUACACGUGUGUUAUGACUUACCGGUUCCCAAACCAGAAGCGGCACUAUGUAACUCUAAUCCCAUCCUAACCAAAUUGUAAUCCGACCUAGAAUUCUGGAUUUGUCCUUGCUCUCCUUUAAACUCUCCAGGUCCUAUUCUCCCAUGGUUUACCCCUGCUCACUCCUGCUCUUCUCCUUAUGGCCACUAGGGGGCACUCAGAUCUAUGAAUCAAACAAAUGGUUUUAUGAAAUGACUGUUGCCUACUAACCUAUGGUAGCAGGCAUAAAAUAAAUGCCUGAGUGGGGUCGGAAGAAACCGGAAGCAUACGGCUUUCAAACUUCGCCUCUUCUCAGCUUUUCCCCUGAAAACCGGAUUCUUCCGGCACUGCUGAGGGUGGUUGCCUACUAUUUCAAAUUUACAAACUGAAGGAUGUAGGAAUUUGACAAGCUGGUGAUUUAGUAAAUAUUUGUGAACUGUUGCUGUUAACUUUCGGUUCCUGGUCUUUAGGUUUAUGUCCUCAGAUCUUGACAUGUUAUGUUUUUACAUGUAUGUAGACUUAAUGUUUAACUAACUCAUAUCAAUUCUGAAUUUAAUUGCAUCCUGAGCGCUGAGGUAUAACAUGACCCCCAGCAAUGACUGCAUGAAUUUAUACACUUACCAUAUGAAUGGCUAUAGCCCGUAGUGGAUUAAUGUGUAUGUUGGUUAAUUGCAGUCAGACGAGGUCCAUGAGUUUCACUUUACGUCACUCUUCUCUAAGGGGUGUACUAGUCCAGAAACUAACUUGAAUGGUUGGAAGUUUUCUCUCACGAUGCCCAAAGUUCCUUUUUCUAGGGCUAAAACACAGUUUUGACCUGGCUGUAGAUGUAUGGAGUGUUUCCUACAUUCGCUGUCUGUCUAUCUCGUUCCAUACAAAUUCCAGUGCUUCUCCACUAAGCUUCUAUGUUACUUCUCCUGGUAAAAAAAAGUGUUUCAAUUAUUUGUCAUAAUUUGGCCGUCUGUUUAUAUACAAUAUACGAAAAUAUAUUUCCUCAUAUUUAAGUGUUAUUGUAUUAUGUAUGUAAUCAGUAUUGGGCCAAUGCUUCUGUGGGUGGGGUACUGCGAAUGGAUGUUACUUUAUUUAAAUGUUUGUUCUAUUAGACUCGUGCCCUUUGCCAGGGUAGUCAGUGCUGUUACCCUAUGAUCUGUUCUAAAUUAAGCCCUGUCUCCUGCCCUCUAGGCACUUUAGUAGAUUGGAUUGGUGUAAGCAAUAUGGUAACGAUUCCACGAGGUUAAGCUAUUAUAUUGCUUAUACCUGUCAAAUGCUUACAAAGUGCCAAGGGAUAGGGACUAAGGGUUGGUGUUACCCAGGAGGCUACAGGAAACCCUCCUGUUCUCCAGUACUCUGAGCCUAGGGCAGGGGAUCCUCAUACUGUAGAGGGAAGAUGUCUGUGCACCUUGAUUGAGGGCAUUUUGUGAAGUUCUGACUUUCAUCCCCCAACCACCUCUAACAAUCGCCUUGGUCUCCGACAGGGGUGGACUGAGGGGUGGAAAUGUUUCAGUGCUUUAUCACAGUGUGAAAGUUUGCAGUCAUAUGGUGUCUGAAGGUUAGCAUGAACUCUGACUACUGCGCCACACGCUUCUCUGUAUAGCAGCAGUGUGACGGAGUGAAUCUACCGCUAAAUGAUGGAGAUGGGAGCAAAUGCGAUUUGGUCAGUCUUGUUCUUGUCUCGUUUAUGGGUUCUUUCAAAUCUGUGUCGAGAAGCUUGAAUUCCCUAAUGCUUGAAUCGUCCAAACGGAGAGGUUUGGGGACCUUUGUUUUUUUUGCUUCAUAAUAAAUCUGUUGACUGUCACAUUUAAUAAACCAUAAGGUUUCUCUGAAAUAGCUUUAUAUUUGACAUACCUUAUGUCUGGACUUAGACCCAUGAGCUUAGCUUUGAGAAUGUAACUUUAACUAAACAAACAAGCCCUUAAGCAUUUAACAUGCUUCUCUUUUUGAGGAGAAACCUUUUUUUGUUUUCAUGUGCAACCAGUUUUAUUAUUCAUCACAACAUAAGACACUUUGCACUGUGGGAGGUUUUCCACUUCUUGAAAGGGUUGACAAGCUUUCUAAAAUGAAUUACACGGGGUUGACUUGUCACCAAGAAGUAACUUUACUGUAUAGUCAUGUUCGAGAGGUGUGUGUGUGUGUGUGUGGUAUUCUGGAAAGAAAGUUUUCUCUCUCCUCUCCGGUCUCCUCCCAUCCAGGCUUUUAAUGAUCUACCCUCCUUGACUUGACUAACCGUUUAUCUUUUCAAAGUGCAGGGGAUUGCUGUAGACUUAUUCAAUAUGAAACGCUUGUUCCUUGGUCAGGUCUACAUGUGCUUAGCUAAUGGCAGUGGCGCUGGCACAUCCAGUCAUGGAUACUGUAGAUCGGACCAAUACAGGACAGUUGCUGCUUUAAUACUAGAAAUGUUCCAGGUCCUGUUAUGUUUUUUAAUUCCCAUCCCUUUCUGCAUCUGUGGGCCUGAAUACAGAGCUAACUGUUCUUAAUUGAUCUCAUGAUUCAGUGGCUAUGACGGUAGAGUAGGAUGCCUUAGAUUGAGAAUAGGCUGUAUUUUUAUUUUAUAGUAAUUAAUAACUAAUCAAAUGUGUCACGUGUCCUUACGUCGGCCAUGACAAUCAUUCUAACCGACCAGGGCUACAAUAUGAAUAUCAAUAGCUUUUUCAGACCCUAACCCAAGCCAUGUCCACAAAUUAUAUUUGUAAAUAUAUCUAAAGUGUUCUGAGAAGAUAUGAACUGUUAAAAUAAAGUUUUGCUAAAUAAAA